RNAcentral lists this ribosomal RNA (410 nucleotides) under uncultured bacterium. Its description in RNAcentral is "bacterial SSU rRNA". It matches the Rfam family "Bacterial small subunit ribosomal RNA", at positions 354 to 776 of the family's 1533-position model. The record is from RNAcentral.
GUGGGGAAUAUUGCACAAUGGGCGCAAGCCUGAUGCAGCGACGCCGCGUGAGGGAUGACGGCCUUCGGGUUGUAAACCUCUUUCGCCAGGGACGAAGCGCAAGUGACGGUACCUGGAGAAGAAGGACCGGCCAACUACGUGCCAGCAGCCGCGGUAAUACGUAGGGUCCGAGCGUUGUCCGGAAUUACUGGGCGUAAAGAGCUCGUAGGUGGUUUGUCGCGUUGUUCGUGAAAACUCACAGCUUAACUGUGGGCGUGCGGGCGAUACGGGCAGACUGGAGUACUGCAGGGGAGACUGGAAUUCCUGGUGUAGCGGUGGAAUGCGCAGAUAUCAGGAGGAACACCGGUGGCGAAGGCGGGUCUCUGGGCAGUAACUGACGCUGAGGAGCGAAAGCGUGGGGAGCGAACAGG